ACAAGCUGUUGCUUUCUCAUCUGAAGAUCCCCUUACAGAAGGACAACAAAUGACAUGAUUUUGGACUUCAAUGGGAAACUGUGGGAAAUCCCAGACAGCACUCCAACUCCAAUUUUCAGAGGAAAGCCUAGGAUGUCAAGCAGAAGUUUCCUGCACCAUGGGAGCCUCUACUGUGAGACUCCCCAUCAGGCAAUGUCUAGUGGGAAGAGAGCUACAGAAGGAACACUGGAAAGGUAAAGUAGCCAACAAUGUGUUAUUACCACUGAGGAAAUCUGUGAACACAUACAGCUCCAUAUAGCUCUGCAGCAACCCAUAAAGCCAGAGGGGCAGAAUUAUCCAAAUCCUUGCAGGCCCAUUUCUUGCCACCAUAUGGACAAGACACUGGACUUGAAGCUUUAUGAUUUUAAGUCUGCUCUUGACGGAUAUGUCCUUUCUUCCUCCUGUUUCUCUAAGAUAUUAUAUCUGCUUUGUUACUUUUUGCUCUUACAUUAGAUUGAUGUCUCCUUUUUGUUUCCCUCUUUCUUUCUUUUGGAUGAGAAAUGUUUAUCCCAUCC
Molecule: long non-coding RNA, 554 nt
Filed under: Heterocephalus glaber (naked mole-rat)
Lineage: Eukaryota; Metazoa; Chordata; Mammalia; Rodentia; Bathyergidae
Description: lncRNA (ENSHGLG00000034198.1)
Source: RNAcentral